This 491-nucleotide ribosomal RNA is filed under the name uncultured bacterium. RNAcentral's name for it is "partial 16S ribosomal RNA". It matches the Rfam family "Bacterial small subunit ribosomal RNA", at positions 29 to 507 of the family's 1533-position model. The record is from RNAcentral.
AGUGAACGCUGGCGGUAGGCCUAACACAUGCAAGUCGAACGGCAGCACAGUAAGAGCUUGCUCUUACGGGUGGCGAGUGGCGGACGGGUGAGGAAUACAUCGGAAUCUACUUUUUCGUGGGGGAUAACGUAGGGAAACUUACGCUAAUACCGCAUACGACCUACGGGUGAAAGCAGGGGAUCUUCGGACCUUGCGCGAUUGAAUGAGCCGAUGUCGGAUUAGCUAGUUGGCGGGGUAAAGGCCACCAAGGCGACGAUCCGUAGCUGGUCUGAGAGGAUGAUCAGCCACACUGGAACUGAGACACGGUCCAGACUCCUACGGGAGGCAGCAGUGGGGAAUAUUGGACAAUGGGCGCAAGCCUGAUCCAGCCAUACCGCGUGGGUGAAGAAGGCCUUCGGGUUGUAAAGCCCUUUUGUUGGGAAAGAUAAGCAGCAGGUUAAUACCCCGCUGUUCUGACGGUACCCAAAGAAUAAGCACCGGCUAACUUCGUG